Molecule: ribosomal RNA, 262 nt
Filed under: uncultured bacterium
Lineage: Bacteria
Description: partial 16S ribosomal RNA
Rfam family: Bacterial small subunit ribosomal RNA
Source: RNAcentral
GUCCACGCCGUAAACGAUGAUUACUAGGUGUGGGGGACUGACCCCUUCCGUGCCGCAGCAAACGCAAUAAGUAAUCCACCUGGGGAGUACGACCGCAAGGUUGAAACUCAAAGGAAUUGACGGGGCCCGCACAAGCAGUGGAGUAUGUGGAUUAAUUCGAAGCAACGCGAAGAACCUUACCAGGUCUUGACAUCGUAUGCAUAGCUCAGAGAUGAGUGAAAUCUCUUCGGAGACAUAUAGACAGGUGGUGCAUGGUUGUCGU